Ictalurus furcatus (blue catfish) is the source of this 2604-nucleotide RNA transcript. It is a transcript of the gene named embryonic polyadenylate-binding protein-like, with no coding region annotated. NCBI's taxonomy places the organism in Eukaryota, Metazoa, Chordata, Actinopteri, Siluriformes, Ictaluridae. The transcript is spliced from 15 exons. The record is from RefSeq and is a predicted model, not a curated record.
GGCGCGCAUUGAUAUGACAGGUGUUUCAAGACAGUAAUCAAACAAACAAACAAACAAAAUCUUUACGACAGAGUCGCCGCCGCUGCUCUGAAGAAGAGGAGGACCUUUAGUACCAUCUGUGUUUCUCACACUAGAAAAGAGCUUUCAGGAUGAACAGCAGUGGGCCGGUGUACCCUUUGGCCUCGCUCUAUGUGGGCGACCUGCAUCCUGAUGUCACGGAGGCCAUGCUAUAUCAAAAGUUCUCCCCUGCAGGACCCAUCAUGUCCAUCCGCGUGUGCCGGGAUAUCAUCACCCGCAGGUCCCUCGGUUAUGCCUACAUCAAUUAUCAGCAGCCUGCUGACGCUGAAUGUGCUCUGGACACGAUGAACUAUGAAGUGAUAAAGGGUCGUCCCAUUAGGAUCAUGUGGUCGCAGCGAGACCCUUGUCUGAGGAAGUCUGGAGUGGGGAACAUCUUCAUCAAGAACAUGGACGAGUCGAUCGACAACAAGGCGCUUUAUGACACCUUCUCUGCCUUUGGCAACAUUUUGUCAUGUAAGGUGGUAUGUGACGAAAAUGGCUCGAAAGGUUAUGGAUUUGUGCACUUUGAGACACAGGAGGCAGCGAAACGAGCCAUUGAAACCAUGAACGGCAUGCUCCUGAAUGAUCGCAAAGUUUUUGUCGGACAUUUUAAAUCUCGUAAAGAGCGGGAGGCAGAGUUUGGCGCAAAGGCCAUGGAGUUCACCAAUGUUUACAUCAAGAACUUUGGAGACGAUUUUGACAAUGAGAAGCUACGCAAUAUCUUCUCUGAAUUUGGUAGGACCCUGAGUGUCCGUGUGAUGACUGAUGAAAAGGGGCGUUCUCGUGGCUUUGGCUUUGUGAACUAUGAAAACCACGAGGAUGCACAGAAAGCAGUAGCUGAGAUGAACGGAAAGGAAUUGAACGGACGAGUUCUGUAUGUGGGCCGUGCUCAGAAGAGACUGGAGAGACAGUCCGAACUCAAACGCAGGUUCGAGCAAAUCAAGCAAGAACGCUUAAACCGAUACCAGGGGGUGAAUCUGUACGUGAAGAAUCUGGAUGACGGCAUUGAUGAUGACAAACUGAGAAAAGAGUUUGCCCCCUAUGGCAUGAUUACCAGUGCUAAGGUGAUGACUGAGGGAGGUCACAGUAAAGGCUUUGGCUUCGUUUGUUUCUCCUCUCCUGAGGAGGCCACUAAAGCUGUGACAGAGAUGAAUGGCCGGAUCGUCAGCACUAAGCCUCUGUAUGUGGCCCUGGCCCAAAGGAAAGAGGAGCGCAAGGCCAUACUCACCAACCAGUACAUGCAGAGACUGGCCAGUGUGAGAGCCAUUCCUGGCCCUGCCAUGCCUACUUACCAGCAGAGUUCUGGCUACUACAUGCCUUCCAUACCUCAGCCUCAGGGACGUGCCUUCUACAACACUGUACCAAAUCUACGACCAGCACCACGCUUUGCUGCCCAAGCCCCAAGACCACAGGCUCCUUACUCGGCUCAGACAAUGAGACCAGCAAUGCCACGCAGGACCUCCACCCCCAUCAGCACUGUGCGCCAAGCCUCCACCCAGGCUCCAGGUGUGAACACCCAGAGAAUGGCGCACAUCGGGACUCAGACAGCAGGUGGGCGAACUGUGGGAGGGCCUAUGGUGAGGGGCGUCUCUCAAUACAAAUACUCAAGCGGGGUUCGAAAUGUUCAACAGGUCAUCACUGUACCAACUUCUAUUCCACAGCAGAUGUUUUCUGUCCCAGCUUGCGUUCUUCUAAAGAGAGAGUGGACACGGCCAUGCAUCACUGUGGCACUAAUGCCAGCUGAAAUGGAGUACUCUGCACUUGAGUUGGCUUGCCUGAGAGGCAUUAACUUUUCAGCCUUAUUCUGUUUGAGAAAAUGUUACUUUGUAGAUGGUGCCUUCUGCAGUUAUGGAGCCUGCAGUUCAUAUAAAAGGUCAAGAGCCCCUUACUCCAUCAAUGUUGGCAGCCGCACCCCUUUUGGAGCAGAAACAACUACUGGUAUCUGGUGUGACCCCCUUGUGCAGCAAUAACUGCAACUAAAAGUUUGCGGUAACUGUUGAUCAGUCCUGAACACCGGGUUCGAGGAAUUUUAUCCCUUUCCUCAGUACAGAACAGCUUCAACUCUGGGAUGUUAGUGGGUUUCCUCAAAUGAAAUGCUUGUUGCCAGCAUCAGGAUUUGGUCAGGUGUUUUUUGUUUUUUAAACUAUAAUAAGGUCAGGAAUGCUUGCAAAACUUUAGCUCAUUAUAAGUUUAAAAUAUACUUAUAUAAACAUUAUAUAAACAUGUACUUUGUGAGCAGUAGUGGAGUUACCAAUUGAAUUAUUGUGUAGCAAUGUAGCCCUGAUUAAACACAUCUCAUUUUCUUAAAGUUUACAUUUAAGGCAUUUGGCAGGCACCUUUAUCCAGGGUAACAGCACAGAAGUGCUUUUGAAAUUUCUAUCAAUAAAAGUCAUUCUCGUAGACUGGUUCAUAAGGUGAACGUCUGUAUCCACUGAUCCAUGCCCUGCAUCCGAACCUCGCAGGCAAGAUCACUGGCAUGCUGCUCGAAAUAGAUAAUUCUGAACUUCUACUCAUGCUAGAGUCUCCAGAGUCACUGCAAACCAAGGU